GUCCAAAGAACAAUGAUGUACUCUUUUCCAAGCACAUAUCUGACCAAUCCAUGUGGAAAAUGUUUUCUGAGUUUUUUGGAC
Molecule: small nucleolar RNA, 81 nt
Filed under: Notamacropus eugenii (tammar wallaby)
Lineage: Eukaryota; Metazoa; Chordata; Mammalia; Diprotodontia; Macropodidae
Description: Small nucleolar RNA SNORD121A (ENSMEUG00000017222.1)
Rfam family: Small nucleolar RNA SNORD121A
Source: RNAcentral